RNAcentral lists this transfer RNA (72 nucleotides) under Lachnospiraceae bacterium. RNAcentral's name for it is "tRNA-Glu". It matches the Rfam family "tRNA". From Rfam's summary of the family: Transfer RNA (tRNA) molecules are approximately 80 nucleotides in length. Their secondary structure includes four short double-helical elements and three loops (D, anti-codon, and T loops). Further hydrogen bonds mediate the characteristic L-shaped molecular structure. tRNAs have two regions of fundamental functional importance: the anti-codon, which is responsible for specific mRNA codon recognition, and the 3' end, to which the tRNAs corresponding amino acid is attached (by aminoacyl-tRNA synthetases). tRNAs cope with the degeneracy of the genetic code in two manners: having more than one tRNA (with a specific anti-codon) for a particular amino acid; and 'wobble' base-pairing, i.e. permitting non-standard base-pairing at the 3rd anti-codon position. The record is from RNAcentral. Lineage: Bacteria; Bacillati; Bacillota; Clostridia; Lachnospirales; Lachnospiraceae. RNAcentral also lists the same sequence under 1 other name.
GGCUCCUUGGUCAAGCGGUUAAGACACCGCCCUUUCACGGCGGUAACAUGGGUUCAAAUCCCGUAGGAGUCA